This 775-nucleotide non-coding RNA is filed under the name Moduza procris. Lineage: Eukaryota; Metazoa; Arthropoda; Insecta; Lepidoptera; Nymphalidae. The record is from RNAcentral.
GAUAAAUUUUUUAUGUUUUAUAUAAUUUAUUAUAAAUUUAUUUUACAUGUAAAUUUUAGUAUUAAAUUUUAAUUAUUUUAAUAAUAAUUAAUUAAAAAUGUACAGUAAUUAAAAUUAUAAAUUUAAGAAAUUAAGAUUUAGUAAUAUUUAAAUUAAUAACUAAUUUUGUGCCAGCAGUUGCGGUUAAACAAAAGUUAAAUUAAAUUAUUUCAGUAUAUAAUAAAUAAUUAAAAAAUUAAAUUAAAUAUUAAAUUAUUAAGUGAAAUUUUAAUUUAAUUAAAAAUUAUAAAAAAUUAUGAUUUAAUAAAUUUUAUUUUAAACUAGGAUUAGAUACCCUAUUAUUAAAAAUUUAAUUAAAAAUACUAAAAUAGUAAAUAAUAUAUUAUUGAAACUUAAAUAAUAUGGCGGUAUUUUAGUUCAUUUAGAGGAAUCUGUCUAGUAAUUGAUAAUCCACGAAUAAAUUUACUUGAUUUAUAAUUUUGUAUAUCAUUGUUAAAAAAAUAUUUUUAAAUAAAAAUAAUAUUUUAAAAUUUAAAAUAUAAUUUAAUUCAGAUCAAGAUGCAGAUUAUAAUUAAGUUUAAGAUGGAUUACAAUAAAUUUAUUUAAACGGAAAGAAUUUUGUAAAAUUUGAUUGAAGGUGGAUUUAAAUGUAAUUUUAAUUAGUUUAUUAAAAUGAUUAAAAAUUGAAAUAUGUACAUAUUGCCCGUCACUUUCAUUUAAAAAUUGAAAUAAGUCGUAACAAAGUAGAGGUACUGGAAAGUGUUUCUAGAAUGAA